AGUGAACGCUGGCGGUAGGCCUAGCACAUGCAAGUCGAACGGCAGCACAGUAAGAGCUUGCUCUUACGGGUGGCGAGUGGCGGACGGGUGAGGAAUACAUCGGAAUCUACUUUUUCGUGGGGGAUAACGUAGGGAAACUUACGCUAAUACCGCAUACGACCUACGGGUGAAAGCAGGGGAUCUUCGGACCUUGCGCGAUUGAAUGAGCCGAUGUCGGAUUAGCUAGUUGGCGGGGUAAAGGCCCACCAAGGCGACGAUCCGUAGCUGGUCUGAGAGGAUGAUCAGCCACACUGGAACUGAGACACGGUCCAGACUCCUACGGGAGGCAGCAGUGGGGAAUAUUGGACAAUGGGCGCAAGCCUGAUCCAGCCAUACCGCGUGGGUGAAGAAGGCCUUCGGGUUGUAAAGCCCUUUUGUUGGGAAAGAAAAGCAGCAGGUUAAUACCCCGCUGUUCUGACGGUACCCAAAGAAUAAGUACCGGCUAACUUCGUG
This 492-nucleotide ribosomal RNA is filed under the name uncultured bacterium. RNAcentral describes it as "partial 16S ribosomal RNA". It matches the Rfam family "Bacterial small subunit ribosomal RNA", at positions 29 to 507 of the family's 1533-position model. The record is from RNAcentral.